Molecule: ribosomal RNA, 433 nt
Filed under: uncultured bacterium
Lineage: Bacteria
Description: partial 16S ribosomal RNA
Rfam family: Bacterial small subunit ribosomal RNA
Source: RNAcentral
AACGAACGCUGGCGGCAUGCCUAACACAUGCAAGUCGAACGAGACCUUCGGGUCUAGUGGCGCACGGGUGCGUAACGCGUGGGAACCUGCCCUUAGGUUCGGAAUAACUCCCCGAAAGGGGUGCUAAUACCGGAUAAUGUCUUCGGACCAAAGAUUUAUCGCCCUUGGAUGGGCCCGCGUUGGAUUAGCUAGUUGGUAGGGUAAAAGCCUACCAAGGCGACGAUCCAUAGCUGGUCUGAGAGGAUGAUCAGCCACACUGGGACUGAGACACGGCCCAGACUCCUACGGGAGGCAGCAGUGGGGAAUAUUGGACAAGGGGCGAAAGCCUGAUCCAGCAAUGCCGCGUGAGUGAUGAAGGCCUUAGGGUUGUAAAGCUCUUUUAACCGGGAUGAUAAUGACAGUACCGGGAGAAUAAGCUCCGGCUAACUCCGUG